UGCCAGCAGCCGCGGUAAUACGUAGGGUGCAAGCGUUGUUCGGAAUUACUGGGCGCAAAGGGCGCGCAGGCGGCUUGGCAAGUCAGAUGUGAAAGCCCACGGCUCAACCGUGGAUGUGCAUUUGAAACUGCUAGGCUUGAGUAUCAGAGGGGAAAGUGGAAUUCCUGGUGUAGAGGUGAAAUUCGUAGAUAUCAGGAGGAAUACCAGUGGCGAAGGCGACUUUCUGGCUGAAUACUGACGCUGAGGCGCGAAAGCGUGGGGAGCAAACAGGAUUAGAUA
RNAcentral lists this ribosomal RNA (279 nucleotides) under uncultured bacterium. RNAcentral describes it as "partial 16S ribosomal RNA". It matches the Rfam family "Bacterial small subunit ribosomal RNA", at positions 506 to 784 of the family's 1533-position model. The record is from RNAcentral.